CUACGGGUCGCAGCAGGCGCGGAACCUUUACAAUGCACGCAAGUGUGAUAAGGGAACCCUCAGUGCUCAUGUUUUACAUGGGCUUUUGCCAAGCGUAAAUAGCUUGGCGAAUAAGUGGUGGGUAAGACUGGUGCCAGCCGCCGCGGUAACACCAGCGCCACGAGUGGCAACCACGUUUAUUGGGCCUAAAGCGUCCGUAGCCGGCUUGGUAAAUCUCUUGUGAAAUCGUCAGGCUUAACCUGACGGCGCGCUCGAGACACUGCCUCGCUUGAGACCGGGAGGAGUGAGAGGUAUUCCUGAGGGAGCGGUAAAAUGUGAUAAUCUCAGGAGGAUCACCUAUGGCGAAGGCAUCUCACCAGAACGGAUCUGACGGUCAGGGACGAAGGCUAGGGGAGCGAUCCGGAUUAGAUACCCGAGUAGUC
This 422-nucleotide ribosomal RNA is filed under the name uncultured archaeon. RNAcentral describes it as "partial 16S ribosomal RNA". It matches the Rfam family "Archaeal small subunit ribosomal RNA", at positions 323 to 746 of the family's 1478-position model. The record is from RNAcentral.